AGGAUGAAAUGGUAACCCAGUAGCCCAAAAGACAAAGUCCUUCUCAACAAAGCCUAACCAACAGGCAAUGGAUUAUAGUGAUUCAGAGGAAAGAUAAGAAGGGCCAUGUCGAUGAUGUUCAGAGCGUCAUGGUAAUGCUUCUGUGCUGACAGCAGGAGGGCAAGGAGGUGCAGGGAGUUGGCAUCGUCACCUUGAAGCUGAAGAGCUUGGCGGACAUACCCCAGAGCCUCUGGGAUCUGGUUUAAAACAAAACCAAAAAAGGUUUUACAUACACACAUGCACACGCACACACACACACACACACACACGCGCGAAAGAAGCCAUCUUUUCAAUGUCUGCUUCUCUUCAAAUAUUGAGUUGUUUCACAUUGUGCCUCAUUCACAUUUUAAGCCAAAUCUUUAUGGCAGCCCCAGGAUAUUAACCACAAACAUGAAAGCAGAAGCCACCUUCAAAAGACAUUCUGACUGAUAGAGUGAUACAGGAGACCCUGUUUCUCUACGUAGCUGCCAAUACUGCUCCAAGUCUUUCCCUUCUCCCUGAGUAAACACUUUCUCAUUCUUUCCACAAAACUGAUCUACUUUUGAUUAUGCCCAAGAUGAUUUUGCUCUAAGUGGAGACACAUACAAAGUGUCAGAGAUUUUU
Molecule: long non-coding RNA, 642 nt
Filed under: Homo sapiens (human)
Lineage: Eukaryota; Metazoa; Chordata; Mammalia; Primates; Hominidae
Description: HSALNT0378678
Source: RNAcentral